ACAUCUAAUACAAAAAUACAAAAAAAAGAUAG
RNAcentral lists this small RNA (32 nucleotides) under Arabidopsis thaliana (thale cress). RNAcentral's name for it is "ATSL132480". Lineage: Eukaryota; Viridiplantae; Streptophyta; Magnoliopsida; Brassicales; Brassicaceae. The record is from RNAcentral.